This 509-nucleotide long non-coding RNA is filed under the name Helianthus annuus (common sunflower). RNAcentral's name for it is "hypothetical non coding rna". The record is from RNAcentral. Lineage: Eukaryota; Viridiplantae; Streptophyta; Magnoliopsida; Asterales; Asteraceae.
UUUUUCCAGAAAUAUAAAAAACUAAAAGAUCAUUAUUUCAAAAUAACCUCUAAAAUAUUAAUCUCUCCAAAACCAAAAUCUUUUUGAAAUUCCCCCCCAAAAUCACGGUUGACCCACUCCCCCCUCUUCCCGUUGUUCACCAAAACUGUUUUGACAUUCCCCCAAUAAUAUCAUCUCCCUCCUCAAAUCCAUUCAUAUUCCCACCCUUUCUCCUAACCUUAAAUCAAUUUCCCUCCCCAAAUCUAAGUAUUAAAUAUUGUUGGGUUCAAUGGAUCGUUAGCAACUAAGCGAACCGGGAGAGACGAGAUGAAGAACGCAAAGCUUCUCAUGUUUGUCACCACUGGUGUUAAUAAGCGACAAAAAACAUUGCAAGAAUGACGCAAUGACGACGAUGGUUGCUCUUGGUGACAUGCAUCAGCUGUGUGUUUGUUCCACCACAACAACUUCAGUGAAGGUUUGAGUAGGUUUAAGGAGGGAGACAGUAGCUGAGUAGCAACACUUUCAUCUUC